This 973-nucleotide ribosomal RNA is filed under the name uncultured bacterium. Its description in RNAcentral is "bacterial SSU rRNA". It matches the Rfam family "Bacterial small subunit ribosomal RNA", at positions 8 to 1013 of the family's 1533-position model. The record is from RNAcentral.
AGAGUUUGAUCCUGGCUCAGGAUGAACGCUGGCGGCGUGCCUAAUACAUGCAAGUCGAACGGGGUGCAGCAAUGUACCAAGUGGCGAUCGGGUGCGUAACACGUAGCUGACCUACCUCUUGGCGGGGGACAACAGGCCGAAAGGCCUGCUAAUACCGCAUGAUUUCGGGGGGACCAGAUAACCCCGAAGAAACGCGAAAGUGGCCGAGAGAGGGGGCUGCGGCCCAUCAGGUAGUUGGUGAGGUAACGGCUCACCAAGCCGACGACGGGUAGGGGGCCUGAGAGGGUGACCCCCCACACUGGGACUGACAGACGGCCCAGACUCCUACGGGAGGCAGCAGUAAGGGAUAUUGGGCAAUGGGCGAAAGCCUGACCCAGCAACGCCGCGUGGAGGAUGACGGCCUUCGGGUUGUAAACUCCUUUUGUCGGGGACGAGACAAGGACGGUACCCGGCGAAGAAGUCACGGCUAACUACGUGCCAGCAGCCGCGGUAAAACGUAGGUGGCGAGCGUUAUCCGGAUUUACUGGGCGUAAAGCGUGUGCAGGCGGACGGGCAAGUGGUGUAUGAAAGCUCCAGGCUUAACCUGGAGAGGUUAUGCCAGACUGCACGUCUUGAGGCAGAGAGAGGGACAUGGAAUUCCGGGUGUAGUGGUGAAAUGCGUAGAGAUCCGGAGGAACUCCAGAGGCGAAUGCGGUGUCCUGUCUCUGACCUGACGCUCAGACACGAAAGCAUGGGGAGCGAACGGGAUUAGAAACCCCGGUAGUCCAUGCCGUAAACGAUGCAGACUAUGCGUCGGCGGUCUCAACCCCGUCGGUGCCGAAGCUACGCGAUAAGUCUGCCGCCUGGGGACUACGACGCAAGGUUAAACUCAAAGGAAUUGACGGGGCCCGCACAAGCAGCGUAGCGUGUGGUUAAUCGAGGCUACACGAGACGUACCUGGCUUGACUACUGUGGUAGGAAGUGAAAGCGAACG